Molecule: long non-coding RNA, 9588 nt
Filed under: Ananas comosus (pineapple)
Lineage: Eukaryota; Viridiplantae; Streptophyta; Magnoliopsida; Poales; Bromeliaceae
Description: long non-coding RNA (ACOM_LNC009335)
Source: RNAcentral
AGACGCUCCUGAUGAGCACUCGGCCCUCCGUGGCCGUCGGAUCGAUCGCGCUGAUCGGGCUCAGCGUCCCAACGGCCCUGAUCCUGAUCGCCUUGCGCCUGGCAGAGGCGUUGGCGUUAAUGCACGGAAAUUGAUGGUGGAUUUUCUUUCUUUUUUUUUUCUUUUUUCUUUUGUAUACAAUGAUUGGUUAUAGUUACUACAGCUUUAGUUUUUUUCGGUGUUCGUGUUUUUUUUUUUUUACCUAAUAUCAACAUUUAAUGCAAAGUCGGCGCCGUUACGUACAUUGUAAUGAUUGUGGAAAUAAUGUCGUUGCCGACUUUGGUAGCUAUAAUUAUGAGUGUGCUUUUUAAUCUUUGGUGAUUAAUUUAUUUAAUUUGGAAAAGAAAUAUGAAUAGAUGUAUCCAUUUUCACAAUGCACUCAUAUUUUUCAACAAUUCAUAUGCGAAUAUACAGCGGAUACUAAAUUUUUAUUAUUAUAUUUGCUAAAAAAAGAAUUUGAAUUCAGUUACGAAUCGAAUUUGUAUUUCGAUAUUAUUAAAAUAAUAAUAUAUAUAAAUAUGAACUAAAAUUAGAACCAAUAAAAAUAACAGUUCACACUUCUAUUCAAACUCUAUAUAUUUUUUUUAUUAAAUAAAAUAUAAUAUUUUAACAAAUAUAAAUGCAAUUUUAAUAUGAGAUUUAUAGUAAAAUAAAUAAAGAACGAUACAAAAAAAACUACUUUAUUUCUCUACAAUGCGCGAAAACCGUCGGAUACGAUUGGAUUAAUUUUUAAGAAACCAUAUCGCAUCCAUUUUUUAAAAAUUUUCUUGGGACACGAAUUCAGAUACAAGCAUGCGUCGAUUGCUAAAUAUUGACAUCCAAAUUCACAUCCUAUCGAAUUCGAUGUCGCAUCCGACUGGAGUUUAUUGGAGCCAAUUUUUCACUUUUGUUUACCUACUCUUCAAACUUGGAAUACAAUUUUGGCAUAAAUUGAAUAAGAUUGAGUAUUCUACGUUAAAGAUAUGCCUUCUUUUUUAUUGGUUUGGUCCAUACACCGUGUCUAUGGAAAAAUAAAAAGAAUCUCAUGAGGAUUUUUUUUUUUUGGUGGAUCCUAAUUUAAGUUGGAGUCCUAAUUAGACUAGGAUUGGUUUCAUACAAGACUCUAUAUUCAAUGAUCACAUUGAAUUAGAGUAGGAUUGAGCCAAAUCCCUCUCUCUAUAUAUAUAUAUAUAUGUACGGCUUGGGUUGAGGGGCGGCCAAAAUUAAUUAGAGAAACUAAUUAUAAAGGUGGCCGGUUACUGAGGGCAUGUACGGCUACGGGUAUAGAGGCAAAUUAAUUAGCAUCUGGUUGCAUAGCUAAUUAAUUAAGGUGCUCUGUCCGUACGGUAGCAAGAGAAGGGAGGUUGCUCGCAUGCGACGGAUUGAAGUCGGCGGCGGAGCGGCGGUUCUCGACCAUUUGUCUGAGCGGUUCGGAUUCUUCGAAGCAACGCCAUAAAGGAAUUUGAUUAGAGUUUCUAUUUACUUCUCUAAUUUGGUCUUCUCGGUUUUACGAAAAACUUUUUUCGAUAUUUUUUUAGAGUUUCGUUAGAACAAGAGAAAUGUGAGAUUCACCAUAAGGUUCUUGAUUUUUUUAUCCGGAGAAGACAUAAGGUGUAAGCUUGUAUUUCUAUUUCUUCAUAUAGUAAAAUACAUCUCUCUCGCUCUCCCCGUGGACGUAGGCAAUUGCCGAACCACGUAAAUCUUGAUUUCUUCUUUCUGUAUUUAUUUCUUUUACUGUUCGUUCGGUGUUUUCUCUAUUUUUCGUGCAUCUUUGUUGGUAGCGCAUGACGGACGAUCCAUCCGAUUCCCAACAUUCUAAAGGGAUGUUUACAAGCAAUUAAUUAGAGAAGAGUGUAAGAAAGGAAUAUUUAGAAGCAACAAUGCCUCGCUGGGGAGCCAAUGAUUAGCUGACACGUGUUAGUUUUUGCCUACAUCUAAUGAUUAAUUAGGUACUUUGUAAUCCUAAUAUCCAAAAAAAAAAAAAUCAAAUUCUAAAGUAAAAAAUUAUAAUCCUUGGAUAAAGAUAAAAGUGACACAUGGUGAUCCUUAACGAAGCGUCGUUGGGGAGCUCCCUAUUGAAUGUUUUUCCAUAUAAAACUAGGGCUGUUAAUGAAAAAAAUCUUAAGUGGAAAGCUCUCCGAUGAAGUCUCAUUGAAAAACCCUUGAUUCGCUGCCACGUGUCAGUGACUUUAUCCGAUGGUUAGGGUUCGAAAAUUCCUUUUUGGGUUUUAGUAUUAGAAAAUACACAAGGAAUCUUAGAUGGAGGCAAAAUUAACACGUGGCAACGAAUUGGAGGCUUCCUAGAAGUUUUAUCUCUGUCAACGAGCCGAACAAGAGCGAGCUGUGGCCAUCUUGAGAUCGGCUUCGGCUCAUUUGCUUGAUUUGUUUACUAAACCGAACUAGCUUGUUUACAAUUCGAAUGGUUUGUAACUCGAAAUUUAAAUAUCAAAUUAGUUAAUUUGAAAAAUUAUUGUUUUUUGCGUGAGAAAUUAGUGUAUUAUUAAUGUUUGGGUUAAAAGCUUAUAUAUAUAUAUGAUAUAGAACAGUAAAUCUUAUCCAUUAGAUUUCAUCAAAUGGUUGAAAUUUACAAAAUAAAUGGACCUCUUUACAUUGGGGUUGGGCGAAAUUUCAAAUAAAAGAAAUUUCUAAAUUACACGUGUGUGUAUAUAUAUAUAUAUAUAUAUAUAUAUAUAUAUAUAUAUAUAUAUAUAUAUAUAUAUAUAUAUAUAUAUAUAUAAAAUAUAAAUAUAAAGUAUACAUAUCUAAGCUACAUCAAGCUAAAUACGGGUGAGCUAAUUCCAACUCAUGUUCAGCUCAUUAAGCUAUCGGAUGGAAAUAUUCAGUUCUUGUUCGACUCAUUUAUUACACGAAUAAUUCAAACUUGAAUCCAUUUUGAGUCAAACACAAGAUUAUUAACUUCAUAUAAACUAUAGUUAGUUAAUUCGGAUUCGGCAAAAAUUCGGCACGGGUAUAAUUCGGAUAAAAUUUGUUUUUUAAUUUUUAAAUUCGUUAAAAAAUAUGGCUAAAAAACGGAUUCGGUAAUUAUUCGGAUACAUGAUUUAUACCGACGAGAGCGGCGACGACGCGACCCUCGGCCGCGAGUUCGCAACAGCGAUCGCCAGUUUUUUGGGCGAAUUAUUCGCAAAUCGCGAAUAAUUCACGAAUAAUUCGCGAAUCGCGAAUAAUUCGCGAAUAAUUCGCGAAUAAUUAUUUUUGAUGAAGAAAUCGCAUUUUUUUUCGAACUUUUCGGAAAAAUACGGAACACCCCGUUUAAUUCGUAUCUUAAAAAGUACGCGAAUAAUUCACGUAUUAAUCGCGAAUUAACUAACUAGGAUAUAAACUAAUAUAUUAAAGAUCGAAAAUGAAAAAAAAAAAAGUUCGAAUAAUUGUAACUGUCCGACCUGCUAGCAAUAACAACCUAUUAUGCCCAUACCAGCCAAAAAUGCUCAAGCUCUCAAAUGGUUCCCUUGGAAUGGUCACAAUCUGUUCCUAUCUGACGUAGGAUUAUUAAGGUGUCACAAAUUUCUCCCUGAUGUCCUCGUCAACCUAAAGAUCACCCAGCGAUGUCAGGCCCACUUCACACUUUUCGGCUGAUGAGCCAGUUUCUGACUCGCUAGCGAUAAUAAUUCUUUAGGCUCAAACCACCGGACCAAAUGAAUAAACCUAAUUAUUAAUACAGAGGGUCCAAGAUUUCUUAUAUUGUCCAUCAAAAUUUUAUUUUCCAUUUGAUGUGGGGACUAUUGCGGUGAUGUUGAAGUUUAAGUUAUUAAGUAUAUUGCCAUGCAACAACUUGUUCAGCUAAGUAAAUUAAUUUCACACCAUAUCUUUAUGCAUUUUACUGUAGAGUUUUUGCUGAUCCAUUGCACUUGAUGAAUUUAGACUAUGUACAAAGAAGAUGAGCAAUUAAAAGUGAAGAUUAAUUUAGAGUAUUUGAUAAGGCAAUAAAUUGUUCAAAUUACUGACCGUCUCUAGAGCAAGUGACAAAGGACUUGGUGGUUGGUAUCCGAGACCCAAGUUCGAAUCCUAGUUGAUUCACAUUUACAGCGAAGUUUAUUUCUAAAUGAAAUAAACGAAGCGGGUAGCAUGCUACCUAUCUCUCGAAAAAAUAAAUUGUUCAAAUUUUAUGUCCCACUCAAAUUUUUGUUUAUAAAUAUCAUAUUUAACAAAUAAAUUCUAUCAUUAAACGAAUCGACUACAAUUUCGUCGCUUCAUCUAUUGCAUCUCUUUCGAUUUCGGCAUCUGAAUUCUGAAAAGUUAAAGCAUCAGCUAUUGCGAUAAUCAUUUUCAUCGAAUCGAUUUUAUUUGUUUUAGAAAUGAAAUUAAUGAAUACUGUAGGCCUGAGCCCAGUUUGAAACGCGUCCGGGUCCGGGUCGGGCCGAAUCGAAGGAGAGAAUUGUCGCCCGGGCCGGGUUGUGACGACAAGUGAAAAACCCGAGCCCAGUUCAGAUUUUCUUAGGCCUCAAAUAUUGAGACCCGGCCCGAUCAUCAACCGGGACGGGUUUAAUAAGAUUAAAAAAAAAAGAAAAAUUCAAAUACCACCUUUGUGGUUUCAUUUUUUUUUAUUUUAGUAGCUCGUGGCUUAAAGUAUAUCAAUUUAGCACCCCGUAGAUUUAUUUUUCUCUUUUUAUUAUUCUUUCCACUAAUUUUUUUUCGUUAAAUCAGUGACAAAGUUAAAACUAAAAGGUACUAAAAUAAAAAUACGAUAAACUUAGAUGGGGUAUCCGAAGUUUUUUGUAUAUAAUUUAACGUAAUGUUAACAAAGGAGCUGACGAAAGGAAAAAAAUGAAACUAUGGGAACUAAAUUGAUACACUUUAAACUACAGGGUAUUGAAGUGAAAAAGUGCGAAACCAAUAUUUGAAGUUUUUAGUAUCUUUACCAAAUACAAAUGUAAAUUUGGUUUGUUUAAUAUGGUGGGGAGUACGAAUAUCAUGUUGCAUAUAUAUCCAUAUUUAUUUAAAUUUAAAUGUAUAUAAUUUAUUAGGAAUAUAAAUGUACUAAGAUUAAUAUAUUUGUAAACACAAAUCUUAUUACUAUUUAUUCCUUAAUAAUAAGGUUAAAUUAUGCUCUUGGUGUUCAAUUUAUUUGUGUGGGUGUUAUUUUAGUUCUCAAACAUUAUUAUUACCAUUAUUUAAAAUUUUAAUUCAAAUUAAAUUGAUUCGAGAUGAUGUCAUAUUAAUGUCGCAGUAACUUAAUACGACACCAUAUAUAAUUUUGGUUGGAUAAAUAAAAAAAAUAAUUAUUUAGAACUCUCUUCUUCUUCUUUUUUUUUUUUUAUACGCGGGUCUUUAUUUUACAUUUUAAAUAAUAUCAAAAGAGUUAUUGUAGUAUCCUUGAUUUUUGAGUUGCUUGUGGAUCUCAGCAUCUGAGGCUUGGUGACACAUCUGGAGAGUGUCGGGACAAGUCGGAAUCGUUUUGACGCAAAAUGGACACAAACAGACUCGACGUGAGGCGAGAGUGGAGUUCUGACACUGAAAUCCGCAAAGUGCAGGAUUUCAGUGUUGAGUACCAGCACGGCAUUGGACUGGAACCGGUACCCUAUGUGCGAGCUUGCGAGCUAAGAGGCCGAGUACCGGUAACCAAAUCGGGUACCGGUACUCCAGUUGUCAUGUUGAGUUAGUAGGGGUAUUAUGGUCUUUUUGUGUUGGUGUUUAUCCACACCACCAACUCUCCCUCGUAUUUAUCCACCUGAGGAAUAGUAGCUUGCUUAAUUAAGUUCCUCUCUCUCUCAAGUGUUAAUUGUGUGCUUGGUGGAGGCCACGGCUUGAGCUCGGAUCGACGUUGACGUUGCGCCGGAAAGCCGUUCGAGCGUAUGGACGUCGCGGUUGCGUCGUUGGAGGCCGGGCGAGCGCGUGAUUUCCUCUCCUUUCGACUUCUCGCCGUGGUUGGAUUAGCGUUUCGAGAUGGAUUGAAGUUUACCGAAAUCGCCGGAACAUCUCCUAAGUUUUUAUAUCGUCAACAUAUAUCAUGUGUUUAAUUUCUUGCUAGUAUUCAAAUUCAUGUAUUAGGCUUAAAAUCUGAAUUUGGAGUUAAGUAGUAGUAGUAUAAUUUUAUAUGUUGGACUUGAAAUUGACUUAGGAGAAAACUGUAGAUCCUACACUGUCAGUUUCUGAAAACUAUUAGAUUUAGUUUUAGAAGCUGUGGUUUAUUUGUAUUGCCGCAGUUUGUAUGCGGUAGAUACCUAGAUUAGUGUAGGAUCAGUUUACGCUCGUGUUGGGAUGUCGAGUUUAUUUUACAGUAGCGUGUAGACUGUUUCGGGUUGUCGGGUGCCAUCGCAGUUGACGGUGGAUCCAGAUUUCUGUAUUUGCAUCAGAUUGUGCCAAGGGCAAGUGAGCUUUGGUUGUUAGACCCAUAUGCUUUGAUUACAGCCUGUGAGAGCCUGAUUGAGCUCGGCAGAGACACGCUUGUAUACUCGGUUGGGUAGCACAGACGAGUGCCACUCCGGAGUUGGGUUUUGUGUUUUUGCGUUGUUUCGCAGCAGUCCUAUUUGGACAGUGCUUUAGGACCGGCCACCUCAAUGGUGGUGUGCGGUAUAGCUCGGACGCAGGCGGGACGGGCCUGUUGGCAGUCCCGUGAUAGUAUAGUCGUUGUUGUAGCAGAUGCAUAUCUACAGAUAGCUAGAGUUGGCUAGUGAUAGUAUAGGGACAUAUAGCUGUAGGGUUUCCAGCUUUCUUUACUAUCUCUUGCAUACGAUUCUGUAAACUUAGUGGGUGAGCCGUUGAGGUCGGUAAAGGUACCCACUGAGGACUAUUUCUUUUUGCAGUAGUUCUCACACCCCGUUGUUGAUCCCUUUUUGCAGAGCUUUUUUCUGCGGCUGCUGCUGUCGCUGAUACUGAUCGUGGAAAGGGAGUCGCGAGUUAGAUCCCUUCCCUGGUUGCAGUUCUAGAGAAGUACAAACUACAGGUAGUUUUGGAUUUUUGGUUCAUGUACAUACUUUUGCUGGUACUCACUGGGGCGAGUGAUGUUUGUAUCUUGGAGACUUUGUAUGUAUAGUGAACCUGAUAUUUAUUUAUAUUCAGUUCUGUUAGCAGCCCUAUACUACUGGUUGUAGUUUUGUAUAAUUACAGGUAUAGCUAUCGCUUCGUAUACAUAAAAAAUUCUUUUGUAUACGGCGGGUCUGUUAGCGUGCCCAGAAAAACGCGGUAAUCCGGGUCGUGAUAGUUAUAUUACGGUUUAAACCUCUUUUUAUUUAAAUUUUUGUUUACAAUUCCCAGACAAUGUAGUGCACCUGGUUCAAGCAAAAGAUUUUUCUUAAAAUUUUAAAUUAAAUUUAAAUUUAAAUUUAAAUUUUAAAUUUUCAAUUGUAAACUCUUUUAUCUUCCAUAAUAUUUCUUACAAUCUAAGGCCCAGUUUCCAAGUUGUUCAUAAUAUUGAAACUGUGACACCCAAAAUUUGGAAUAGAUAUAUAUAAAGUAUAAUAGGACUAAAAUCUUCUAAUCGGAGUAUAUCAUUUUGGGUGGUAGCUAGGCUUUGGAGGUUAACGGGGUUAAGAGUGCUGGGGCUAAAAUGGCGGAGCGUUAUAGUUGGUAUUAGAGCUAAUUAAUCACCGGCCGAAAGCAUGAAUAAGUCUCGACUGAUUCAGGAUCUAAAACAACCUAAGUUAGAGAGUUUUGAAAUGAUAGAUUAAGACAUGAUAUGAAUGACAAGGCUAGCGAAACGAGUCUUCCAUCACCUAACACUCGUGCAUGUGGUUUGAGAUUGACGCGAACUUCAGAGCUUAAAAGGAGAAAGAAAUGUGACACUCCAAAAUUUGAAUUUGUCCUAUUUAUAAGGUAUAAUAGGAUUAAAAUCUUCUAAUUCGACUAUAGUAUUUUUUUGUUGUAACUAUAAAGCCAUACUUGGAUCAAGAGAUAAAGAAAAAAUAAGAAAUUUAUUCCCCUUAUUCUUUCAAACGGUACUAAAAAUUACAAAGAAUUACUAUUCUUCUCUUAAUGAAUUAUUCCAUAAUACCCAUUAAGAGGGGAGAAUAGUAGUUCCACUUAUUGGAUAGAACAAGCUAUUUUCUAUCUUAUUCAUCAACUAAUUAAGUUAUAAAUAAUUAUAAGUUAUAAUUAAUUAAUUCAAUAACAUUUUUUAAUAAUUAACUAUUUAACUAUUUAACUUAUUAAAUUAAUAAAUAUUUAAAUAAUAAUUUAUUUAUAAUUUAUAAUUAAUUAUCUAAUUAAAUAGUUAGCUAUUUGAUAUGCUUAUUCAAACAUUAAUUAAUAUUUAUAUUAUUUAAAUAAUUAAUAUUUUAAUUUAUCUAAUUAAUAUAUUAACUAAAAAUACAAUUAAUUAUUUAUUAUUAAAUUAAUAAAUAUUUAAAUAAUAAUUUAUUUAUAAUUUAUAAUUAAUUAUCUAAUUAAAUAUUUAGCUAUUUGAUAUGCUUAUUCAAUCAUUAACUAAUAUUUGUAUUAUCUAAAUAAUUAACAUUUUAAUUUAUCUAAUUAAUAUAUUAACUAAAAAUAUAAAUAAUUAAAUAAUAAUUAAUAUUAACAUAUUGAGUUAUUUUUUAUAGUUAUGUACUAAUUAAUGUCAUCUUCAGCAUCUCAUAUAGUAAUUUUAAUUAAUUUAUUCAUUAACUUGUUAAAAUAUUAUUUUACUAAUACUUAGAUACUUAUUAUUUUGAUAAAUUAUUUUUAUUUUUAAUUAUAAUUAUUCUUAUUCUUACUAUUCCAACCCAAUUAAUCACCCAAAUGUAAUUUUUCUUAUAUCUCUAAAUAUUUCGAUUCUCGUCCAAAUACAAAAUUGAGCUAAUUUCUGCCUAUCUCAGUUAUACCUAUUUGGCUAUUUCAAGAAUAAAAAAAAAAAACUUCAAAUACCACCCUUGUGGUUUCACACUUUCUUAUUUUAGUAUCCUGUGGUUUAAAGUGUAUCAAUUUUGGUACCCUGUGGUUUUAUUUUUUUCUUUUUAUCAUUCAUUCCACUAAUUUUUUUUCGUUAAAUCAAUAACAAAGUUAAAACUAAAGGAUACUAAAGUGAAUAUUCGAUAAACCUAGAUGGGUGUAUCUGAAGUUUUUUAUAUAUAAUUUAAUGAAAAAUUAACGGAGAAGCUGACGAAAAGAGAAAAAUGAAUCCACAGGAUAUUAACUUGAUACACUUUAAACCACAUGAUACUAAAGUAAGAAAGUGCGAAACCACUGGAGUGGUAUUUGAAGUUUACCCUAAAUAAAAAUAGCAUGUUCUCGAACCAAACAGUAUCUAAAGGAUUUAAAGAGAUUUUGGCUUUAUUUGCAUCUCUUGAAUAUUCCUGGGACAUGAAAAACAUGGCCAGUAAAAUUAAAAAGGAAAAAAAAGAAAAAAAAAAAAGGAACAUGAAGCGAUUCCUUCUAACCUUUUUUUUUGUUUUGUUUUUUUUAAGGUAGAGAUUCCUUUUGUUCUUAACAAUAACUAGUGAAGGCCCGCGCUUCGCGGCGGAAAAUUUACGUAAUUUACCAAAUAUUUUGAACAAACUUGUUUAAUUUUUUUAUUUUAAGAUCUAAAUUAAAAUUGUAAACAUAACACAUUAAUAGAAUCAAAUGAUAAUUCUUUUGAGUUGUCUUCUUUACCUGAGUUGUUUAAAAUUCGAAACGCAGAGAGCCCGGCCGUACCGG